ACCUAGUCAACAUGAAAUAAGAAAAAUGUUUUGGAGGAAAGAAUCACAAGAAAUCAAGCAAAUAUAGAAUAAGAUGUUCUAAAUGAAACAUUUCAUUCACACAAUUACGGAAGGAUUAUAGUAGAUACAAUAAAAAGCAAGAAACAAAUCCUUUCUGGCCAUGAAGAAUUACAAAACCGAUGUCCUUUUCAAGGAACCUCGGGAACUAGGGACAAGUACUU
RNAcentral lists this long non-coding RNA (221 nucleotides) under Elaeis guineensis (African oil palm). Its description in RNAcentral is "long non-coding RNA (EGUI_LNC014886)". The record is from RNAcentral. Lineage: Eukaryota; Viridiplantae; Streptophyta; Magnoliopsida; Arecales; Arecaceae.